This 487-nucleotide ribosomal RNA is filed under the name uncultured Propionibacterium sp. Its description in RNAcentral is "partial 16S ribosomal RNA". The record is from RNAcentral. Lineage: Bacteria; Bacillati; Actinomycetota; Actinomycetes; Propionibacteriales; Propionibacteriaceae.
CACGUAGUUAGCCGGUGCUUCUUUACCCACUACCGCCACACAAAGCUUCGUCAUGAGCGAAAGCGGUUUACAACCCGAAGGCCGUCAUCCCGCACACGGCGUUGCUGCAUCAGGCUUCCACCCAUUGUGCAAUAUUCCCCACUGCUGCCUCCCGUAGGAGUCUGGGCCGUAUCUCAGUCCCAAUGUGGCCGGUCACCCUCUCAGGCCGGCUACCCGUCAAAGCCUUGGUAAGCCACUACCCCACCAACAAGCUGAUAAGCCGCGAGUCCAUCCCCAACCGCCGAAACUUUCCAACCCCACCAUGCAGCAGGAGCUCCUAUCCGGUAUUAGCCCCAGUUUCCCUGAAGUUAUCCCAAAGUCAAGGGCAGGUUACUCACGUGUUACUCACCCGUUCGCCACUCGAGUACCCCCCGAAAGACGGCCUUUCCGUUCGACUUGCAUGUGUUAAGCACGCCGCCAGCGUCGUCUGAGCCAGGAGUCAACUACU